CCUACGGGAGGCUGCAGUGGGGGAUAUUGCACAAUGGGGGGAACCCUGAUGCAGCGACGCCGCGUGGGUGAAGGAGCGUUUCGGCGCGUAAAGCCCUAUCGGCAGGGAAGAAGGAGGACGGUACCUGACUAAGAAGCCCCGGCUAACUACGUGCCAGCAGCCGAGGUAAAACGUAGGGGGCAAGCGGUAUCCGGAUUUACUGGGUGUAAAGGGGGCGCAGACGGCAAGGCAAGGCAGGAGGGAAAGUCCGGGGCCCCACCCCGGGACUGCCGUUGGAACUGGGCGGCUUGAGUGAAGGAGGGGCAGGCGGAAUGCCUGGUGUAGCGGUGAAAUGCGUAGAUAUCAGGAGGAACACCGGUGGCGAAGGCGGCCUGCUGGACUGCGACUGACGUUGAGGCCCGAAAGCGUGGGGAGCGAACAGGAUUAGAUACCCUUGUAGUC
This 441-nucleotide ribosomal RNA is filed under the name uncultured bacterium. Its description in RNAcentral is "partial 16S ribosomal RNA". It matches the Rfam family "Bacterial small subunit ribosomal RNA", at positions 338 to 795 of the family's 1533-position model. The record is from RNAcentral.